CAGCCGCCGCGGUAAUACGGGGGAUGCAAGCGUUAUCCGGAAUGAUUGGGCGUAAAGAGUCCGUAGGUAGUCAUCCAAGUCUGCUGUUAAAGAGCGAGGCUUAACCUCGUAAAGGCAGUGGAAACUGGAAGACUAGAGUGUAGUAGGGGCAGAGGGAAUUCCUGGUGUAGCGGUGAAAUGCGUAGAGAUCAGGAAGAACACCGGUGGCGAAGGCGCUCUGCUGGGCUAUAACUGACACUGAGGGACGAAAGCUAGGGGAGCGAAUGGGAUUAGAUACCCCAGUAGUCCUAGCGGUAAACGAUGGAAACUAGGUGUGGCCUGUAUCGACCCGGGCCGUGCCGAAGCAAACGCGUUAAGUUUCCCGCCUGGGGAGUACGCACGCAAGUGUGAAACUCAAAGGAAUUGGCGGGGGAGCAC
RNAcentral lists this ribosomal RNA (417 nucleotides) under uncultured bacterium. RNAcentral's name for it is "bacterial SSU rRNA". It matches the Rfam family "Bacterial small subunit ribosomal RNA", at positions 509 to 924 of the family's 1533-position model. The record is from RNAcentral.